Molecule: small nucleolar RNA, 108 nt
Filed under: Nicotiana sylvestris (wood tobacco)
Lineage: Eukaryota; Viridiplantae; Streptophyta; Magnoliopsida; Solanales; Solanaceae
Description: Plant small nucleolar RNA R71
Rfam family: Plant small nucleolar RNA R71
About the family: R71 is a member of the C/D box family of snoRNAs containing the C (UGAUGA) and D (CUGA) box motifs. Multiple nearly identical copies of this snoRNA have been identified in Arabidopsis, and it is thought to function as a 2'-O-ribose methylation guide for 18S ribosomal RNA.
Source: Rfam by way of RNAcentral
AUGUCAUGGUGUAGGUAUUUUUCUUAACAUUGCUUUUAAUCUUUCCCAAGCUUGAUAAACUGACUCAGUGUCAGUCUGCAAGAAAUUAGAUAUAUCUUGUCUUAACUU